GUCAUAAUAUCCCCUUGGUGACAUGAGGCCCUGAAGGGCCCUAAUGGUCUCCAUGGGUCCAUCAGGCCCCACAGAGUCAUAAUGGUCUCUGGGUUCAAUGAAGCCCCGCUGUAUCACCAUGGCCCCUUGGUUCCAUGGGCUCCAGUGGUGCCACAAUGAUCCCCUUGGUUUCAUGAGGUCCCCACAGUGUCCCAGUGAUCAUCAUGGGAAGGAAAGAACCAAGCCCCAGUAUUGCAGGGGCAGCCACUAGAGGCCAAGAGUCAUAAGCUGACAAGGAAACAACUUUGUGAAAACUUUGUGAAACUCUAAUCCUUGACCUGAAAGAGAAGAGAGACAGCCUGGGACUUGAGAUGUCAGAAGAUGGGAAAGAAGCCUAGGUGGGAAGAGAUGAUGGAGUGGCCUUUGGCUGGACUUUUUCUUGUAUAGCCAUAGACUGAACCAAUUUUCCUGUAACAGAGAGACUGCAUUUAGGAGGAUGCAAUGUCUUGAGCCAAGAGAGUGACCUGCUGCAGUGAUUGCCAUGUGAGGAGUGAGAGUGACCUGCUGCAGUGACGCCAUGUGCAGGAGUGAACAGAGAAAGAUGAGGAGGGUGUGGUGGUGCCCUCUGUCUUCAGAGAAGAAGAAGAUCUCUGUUCUCAAGACCCUCGGCCCCAGGGGAGGUGAAAAUGAGGGGGUCUGUUGUCCCAAAAUGAGAAAAACUGUCGUUCUCUGGUACUUGGCAAAGCAUCCUUAAAAGGAACCCUAGAAGCAGUCUUGGUCCAUGGACAGUGGUGAGAGCAUGGAAGGAGGAGGUCACAAUGGCAGAUUUUCUCUGGGUGGUGCCAUGUGUGAGAUGGAAAUAUGAGAGGUUUCAACUGUGUUUCCUGGGGAAGACUAUGGUACCAGAGAGACUCCUCUCUCCCUUGAUGAACUGCGAAUUGAUUAUCUGAGGGGUGGUAACUUGACUGAGAAUCCAAGGUUUUGUCUCACUGUGCUUUGGUGGAAAUUGGGUGGGGAGAGGAGGAAUGUUUUGGAAGGUUUUAAUUUUGAAUUUUGUGUUUCUUUUUUUAUAGUUGUAGGUUAAUAAAGUUUUUUUUUUCCUUUAUUUCUAAGCUUGAGCCUGCUCUGCUCUGUUUCUGCUCACAUCUCACAGUAACCAUUUGAGAAAAAUAUAUUUUCAUGGGAGCACUGGCAUUGCUCCAGCACCAACCCAUGACACAGAGAAAGGCCAGAGGGGCAGGGAAGACACUAGGAAUUGGUCACAUUUUCUCCUGUCACAGCCAUGACUCAGGGAAUAGGAUUAAACCUGGAAAGGCUGAGGCGCAUUACUGACCUCUUGCUGCCUAAGGAAAGAAAGAGAAAUGAAGAUAAUUUGUCCUUUUUUGGGUUGUCCAGUUCAAAAAAGACACUGAGUCAACCAAGAAGGUUGGGAAAGCUGGAUAUACAAGGAUUGACAUGGGGAAGCUGGGAGUAGAAGAUGUGCCCAUACUCAUGGUGAAGGAAAAUCCUGUUCUUGGAUGAAACUCCCUAAGGCAAGGAUUCCUUGAGAGAAGAUGGAUCCCAACUCUUGGAGAUACUACAAUUUUGACUGGAAAUUGGGUGACCUGAACAGCUGGGCCCUAUUUGGAACAGGUUUAUGGACUGGUUAAUUCAAAAGAGGAUGUCCAAUCUAAAUUAUUCUGAAGUUUUAUAUAAAGGGUUCUCUUGAGGAUUUUUUGCAAGUUGCAAAACAAUGGCCAUAUUCAGCCGAUGCACAAUCCAGCCUGAUGGUAACAAUGGAUAAUGGACAUGUUCACAGACAAUGGAUAACGGAAAUAUUCAGAAACGGGGUCAGUAUAUCCUGAGAAACAUAGAAGAAGAAGAAUCAUCAAGACUCAGCAAGUUUGUCAGCAAGUUUGAAAAAAAAAGAGAAGCAAAGGGUGGGCCAGACAACCACAGCAAUCAGAUGAUCCAAUCAGCAUUCUAAUUUAGAUGCAUGAACAGCUAGGAUUAACCAGUCAUGUAUUAGCUAGAGACAUGUGAACAGUAGAAACUUAUUAUAAAUUAAGCCUUUUUAGGAUACUAAAUUAGCUUCACUCGAUCGUAUUGAUCAUGAUGUGAUGUUCCCAUUCCUGAUUCUCCAUUUUGGUGGAGAAUGUGGGCACCCCCAGCGUGAUAGCACGAGAGGGACUCGAGGACGGCAAUUUGGCUGCUGUGCAGAAGAUCAGAGCCAGCCUCUGAGGAGCAGAGAAGCCAGUCUGAAGAAGCGUGUUUCCUGGCCUGUUGGAGUCCACUCCCGCUAGCUACAGACCCUUGCCCACACAAUACUUCAUAGACGAUGGUAAAAGAUUAGAGAAGUGCUCUCCUCCACGUGGGAAACAUUGUCCUUUAUUCCAAGACACACAUCAGGCAGACAAACCCAUGGGAGAAAAGAGGGCUUUCCCUAGCAAGCAGAGAGCUUUUUCUACCCCCCUGGGAUGGGGACAGAGGGAGAGGUCCACAGCCAAAGGGAUACCAGUGAGGAGUGGUGAGGGGAGGGGUAACCCAGGGGAGAGACCACCAGGUGGUACCGGGACAGGUGAGGGAAAGACCAUGUGAUAGGGAAAAGGGGUAACAAACCACAUGAUGUAACAUAAGCUAUACAGUGCAAUAUAAAACUAUUCUGUGCAAAUUCCCAAUCACCCAGUGCAAGAGAACAACUAAACUGGUGCACCACAACACCACA
Molecule: long non-coding RNA, 2683 nt
Organism: Passer domesticus (house sparrow)
Lineage: Eukaryota; Metazoa; Chordata; Aves; Passeriformes; Passeridae
Exons: 2
Source: RefSeq, a predicted model, not a curated record